Molecule: ribosomal RNA, 497 nt
Filed under: uncultured bacterium
Lineage: Bacteria
Description: partial 16S ribosomal RNA
Rfam family: Bacterial small subunit ribosomal RNA
Source: RNAcentral
GAUGAACGCUGGCGGCGUGCCUAAUACAUGCAAGUCGAGCGAACAGACGAGGAGCUUGCUCCUCUGACGUUAGCGGCGGACGGGUGAGUAACACGUGGAUAACCUACCUAUAAGACUGGGAUAACUUCGGGAAACCGGAGCUAAUACCGGAUAAUAUAUUGAACCGCAUGGUUCAAUAGUGAAAGACGGUUUUGCUGUCACUUAUAGAUGGAUCCGCGCCGCAUUAGCUAGUUGGUAAGGUAACGGCUUACCAAGGCAACGAUGCGUAGCCGACCUGAGAGGGUGAUCGGCAACACUGGAACUGAGACACGGUCCAGACUCCUACGGGAGGCAGCAGUAGGGAAUCUGCCGCAAUGGGCGAAAGCCUGACGGAGCAACGCCGCGUGAGUGAUGAAGGUCUUCGGAUCGUAAAACUCUGUUAUUAGGGAAGAACAAAUGUGUAAGUAACUAUGCACGUCUUGACGGUACCUAAUCAGAAAGCCACGGCUAACUACGUG